RNAcentral lists this ribosomal RNA (421 nucleotides) under uncultured bacterium. Its description in RNAcentral is "bacterial SSU rRNA". It matches the Rfam family "Bacterial small subunit ribosomal RNA", at positions 9 to 461 of the family's 1533-position model. The record is from RNAcentral.
GGGUUCGAUUAUGGCUCAGGAUGAACGCUGGCGGCGUGCUUAACACAUGCAAGUCGAACGAACCUUCGGGUUAGUGGCGGACGGGUGAGUAACGCGUGAGAAUCUGCCCUCAGGAGGGGGAUAACGGUUGGAAACGACCGCUAAUACCCCAUAUGCCGCGAGGUGAAAUGAAUUUCGCCUGAGGAUGAGCUCGCGUCUGAUUAGUUAGUUGGUGGGGUAAAGGCCUACCAAGACAUCGAUCAGUAGCUGGUCUGAGAGGAUGAUCAGCCACACUGGGACUGAGACACGGCCCAGACUCCUACGGGAGGCAGCAGUGGGGAAUUUUCCGCAAUGGGCGAAAGCCUGACGGAGCAACGCCGCGUGAGGGAUGAAGGCCUCUGGGCUGUAAACCUCUUUUAUCAAGGAAGAAGAUCUGACGGUU